This 1469-nucleotide ribosomal RNA is filed under the name uncultured bacterium. RNAcentral's name for it is "bacterial SSU rRNA". It matches the Rfam family "Bacterial small subunit ribosomal RNA". The record is from RNAcentral.
GACGAACGCUGGCGGCGUGCCUAAUACAUGCAAGUUGAGCGCUGAAGGUUGGUACUUGUACCGACUGGAUGAGCAGCGAACGGGUGAGUAACGCGUGGGGAAUCUGCCUUUGAGCGGGGGACAACAUUUGGAAACGAAUGCUAAUACCGCAUAAAAACUUUAAACACAAGUUUUAAGUUUGAAAGAUGCAAUUGCAUCACUCAAAGAUGAUCCCGCGUUGUAUCAGCUAGUUGGUGAGGUAAAGGCUCACCAAGGCGAUGAUACAUAGCCGACCUGAGAGGGUGAUCGGCCACAUUGGGACUGAGACACGGCCCAAACUCCUACGGGAGGCAGCAGUAGGGAAUCUUCGGCAAUGGACGAAAGUCUGACCGAGCAACGCCGCGUGAGUGAAGAAGGUUUUCGGAUCGUAAAACUCUGUUGGUAGAGAAGAACGUUGGUGAGAGUGGAAAGCUCAUCAAGUGACGGUAACUACCCAGAAAGGGACGGCUAACUACGUGCCAGCAGCCGCGGUAAUACGUAGGUCCCGAGCGUUGUCCGGGUUUAUUGGGCGUAAAGCGAGCGCAGGUGGUUUAUUAAGUCUGGUGUAAAAGGCAGUGGCUCAACCAUUGUAUGCAUUGGAAACUGGUAGACUUGAGUGCAGGAGAGGAGGGUGGAAUUCCAUGUGUAGCGGUGAAAUGCGUAGAUAUAUGGAGGAACACCGGUGGCGAAAGCGGCUCUCUGGCCUGUAACUGACACUGAGGCUCGAAAGCGUGGGGAGCAAACAGGAUUAGAUACCCUGGUAGUCCACGCCGUAAACGAUGAGUGCUAGAUGUAGGGAGCUAUAAGUUCUCUGUAUCGCAGCUAACGCAAUAAGCACUCCGCCUGGGGAGUACGACCGCAAGGUUGAAACUCAAAGGAAUUGACGGGGGCCCGCACGAGCGGUGGAGCAUGUAGUUUAAUUCGAAGCAACGCGAAGAACCUUACCAGGUCUUGACAUACUCGUGCUAUUCCUAGAGAUAGGAAGUUCCUUCGGGACACGGGAUACAGGUGGUGCAUGGUUGUCGUCAGCUCGUGUCGUGAGAUGUUGGGUUAAGUCCCGCAACGAGCGCAACCCCUAUUGUUAGUUGCCAUCAUUAAGUUGGGCACUCUAACGAGACUGCCGGUGAUAAACCGGAGGAAGGUGGGGAUGACGUCAAAUCAUCAUGCCCCUUAUGACCUGGGCUACACACGUGCUACAAUGGAUGGUACAACGAGUCGCGAGACAGUGAUGUUUAGCUAAUCUCUUAAAACCAUUCUCAGUUCGGAUUGUAGGCUGCAACUCGCCUACAUGAAGUCGGAAUCGCUAGUAAUCGCGGAUCAGCACGCCGCGGUGAAUACGUUCCCGGGCCUUGUACACACCGCCCGUCACACCACGGGAGUUGGGAGUACCCGAAGUAGGUUGCCUAACCGCAAGGAGGGCGCUUCCUAAGGUAAGACCGAUGACUGGGGUG